UGGGGUGGCAGAAAUUAGAAAGCUGAAUAACACCAAGUGCUGGCGGGGAUAUGAGGGUUUAAGAAUGGGCCACUCUGCUGAGAGGAAGACUACUGAAUUAAAACUACUGACACCCUGAGUGCCAGCAGCCCCCUCACACAGGAUGGGAGGGUCAUGGUAGGGGUUUGCGUCACAGUAUUGUGUUGGUGUCGGGAACAUCUGGGUGUCAUCCUUGUUGGAGUGGUUUGGGCAGGUUGUGGUAGCUACAUAUCAUGGAGUGCCGUGUAGUAGUUGGAAGAAACAGAUUAGAUGGACACUCAGUAGCGUGCGUGGGUCUUUGAAACAUAGGGCAGGGUGGAAAAGUAAAAAACAGGAUAGAAUUCCUGCUGUGGUGCAGCGGGUUAAGAAUCCCACCGUAGUGGCUCAGGUCACUGUGGAGGCAUGGGUUUGAUUCCAGGCCCAGCAUAGCAGGUUAAGGAUCUGGCAUUGCCACAGCUACGGCAUAGGUUGAAGCUGUGGCUGGCCUGGGAACUUCCAUAUGCCAUUGGUGCGACCAAAAAACAAAACUAGAUGGAGAUAUACAGCAUAACACUAUUUGUGUAAGGUUUAAAAAUAUGUAUGCACAAAAGAAAUAUAAGUACUUUGCAAAAGCACAGAUAAACCAAGGGAUACAUAAUACAUUGAGAGGGUUGCCCGUGGGAAGAUGGGCACGAGGAAUAGGGAUAAAAUCAGAUUUUAAAGAGCUCUGAUAACUUCAACCUUCUUUUGCUUAAUGCAUCUUCUAGCUCCAUCUUUAAAAAUGCCCUCCUCUAUAAUUUCUUCUGAUUCCCUUCUCAAAGGUCUCAGGCCUCACCUGUCAAUCUCCCUUCAGAGAGCUCCUCUUAGGCCAUGUCUGACAACUUAUAAGUUAAUGUUUACAAAUAUUCACAUUUACUCUGAACAAGUACUCAGCACACUGCAGUGGCCAACAUGCAAUCCCAUGGGACUAGAGAUUGUGGGGAACAGGAAGACUUGAAGGGAGACCCUGUCUUACUAGUCAUGGUAUCUGGCACCUGGGAGCUGCUCAAUGUCUUUUGAAGGAAUCAAAGAAAUUCUAGCUCUGCUGUUUACCAACUGUGUCAGCCAGGGCACACACCUUCACCUCUCUCGGUUUUGAUUUCCAUCUCUGUCAAGUGGAGAUAAUAAUUGCAAUUCGGACCACACAGGGUUUUGUGAAGCUUAGAUGAGAUCGAUGCUUUGGAAAGCACUUCAUUAACUGUAGAGAGUUAUCUGUGCAACAGAAAAAGAGUAGAGAAAAGAAAGCAGGGGGCUCAAAUUCCAGCACUUGUGCAAAUGAGCUGUGGGACCUUGAAUAAGGUAGCAAUCUCUCGUCUCAGGUUUUAAAUUCUGCAAAAUAAAAAACAACAAUGUCGACCAUGUAGGGUUAUUAUAAGGAUGAAUGACGAUGUUACGAGGAUGAACAGUACCACAUAUUUGCUAUUCAAUAGUAGGUGUUUAGAAAAUGGGGGCCUCUAUAUCUUCAUUUGUUCAUUUAUUCAGUGAAUCCUCACUGAAUGUCUACAAUGGGCCAGGCAAGGUCUAGACCCUGGGAAUGGAGCAGUGAACAAAAUGGAUAAAAACCCCCAAAUUCCUGUCCUUUGGUCUAAGGGAGAGGGGUCAAAGAAGAAACAAAAUUAAUAAGAUAUGUAUAUGCUAGUUGAUGACAAAGGCUGUGGAAAAAACAAGGCAGGAAAAUGGAAUAGGGGAGUCGCAGGGUGGUGGUGGAAAGGAUUUCCUUUUUAUGUAGAGUGGUUGGGAAAAGCCUAGUGGAGAAGGUGAUGGCUUGAGUAAAGACCUGCAGAAGGAGAGAAAGCAAGCCCUGGGGAGGUGCAAAGGCCCUGAGGUAGGUCCACACCUGGUGUGUUCAAGGCACAGCAAGGAGGCCGGGGUGGCUGAGAUGAGCUCAGAGAGCUAAAGGCAGCAGUAGGGCUGCUGGUAGAAGCCCCACUUAAAGACUGCUAUAAAUUACACCCAGCUGGACAGGGAUAUCUUGGGGGAGGAGGAAAGAUUGAGGGAGUGAUUUUGGGGGAUGGAGGAAUAACCCAGGUAAGUGUAUUAUUUAUCUAUGGCCACCUAACAAAUUACCCCCAAACUCAGCAGCUUAAAACAACAAUCAUUUAUUAUCUCAGAGUUUCUGUGGGUCACAAAUUCAGGCACCCCUUAGGUCUCUCACAUGGCUGCAAUCAAGGUGACUAGGCUGCAGUUAUCUGAAGACUUGACUGGGGAGGGUCACUCUUUGGCUGUAAACAGAAUUCAGUUCCUUUCAGGCUGCUGGCCAGAGGUCUCAGUUCCUUGCCAAGGGGGUCUCCCCUAGUUCUUGGCUUCAGAGCAAGAGACUGUGCCCAAGAGGGAAGCCACAGUCUUUUAAUAACAUAACCUUGGAAGUGACUUCUCCUGAUUGCUGCUUCAUUCUAUUUGCUAGAAAAAGGAGGUUACACAUGAAUAUCAAGGGAGGGGAAUCAGCUGUGCAAUCAGAAGUGAGGUUGCCUAACACCACGGAUUGUCAGGUGUGGCAUAACUGCCAAAGACUAGAGAAGGAUGAGAAAUUAUUUGUCCAGAUGCAGCAGGGACAUCUGAGACUUACUUCAUCGGUACCAUCCGGUUGUACGACUUUCUUCAAGACCUAUGAGUAACUGAACAAGGACGAACCUAUCUAGCUAGCAGUUCUCUGGCUCUCUUCUAUAUGGUCCUCCGAACCUGGCUAAUUAGGCUCUCUGGCUGCUCAUGCUGGGGCUAGGUUUCAACUCGCAGGGAAACGGUGUGCGUUAGAAGUGUGUGCGCGCAUGCGCACGCCCAGAUCUGGGCUGAUCUUCUGUGAUGUCUGCCUCUCGCGUCCCACUCUUCCCUGAGCCCGGAGACCCCCGGGUUCACCUUUCUUCUGCUCCCUCCUCUGCACUUUGUCGAAGGUCACGUGGGAGGAAACAAGCCCCACGCGGUUUUAAUCAUUUUGCUAUAAAAGCCGAGCUGCUCUCGGCUUUGAUCCGGGCUGAGCUGCUGGAGGAAGGGCUGGGGGCCCGGCCGGCCUGUCCGCAGAGCAGCUCCGCGCACACGGCUCCCACAUCAGACGACAGCCGUAAAAUGGAGCACAGCUCAUUAAUUCUCCCUCUUAACCAGGGCACCUGACAAGAAGUGACUUUGAAAACCCGGAGGACGGAUGGGCGGGCGGGUAGCCGGCUCUGGGGCUAUGCGAGGAACAUCUGUUUCCAGGUCCCUGGCUGUUAAAUUGACAUCUUUUUAUUUGAAACGUUUCUUUUAUUUCCCAACUUCCUGCAAUUGGCAAGGUCUCUGUGCCAGGGAGUAGACAGCGUGGCUUUGUGGGCCGUAGGAGCUGAGUGGCUUUGCCGUCCUACAUGACUGGCUUGUAAGUACCAGAGUGGGCAGCCUGGCACUCUGUCAAUUAUUAAACCUCUAUUUGUGCAGAGAACAUCAAACCCCAUAAAAAACCAAAAUGGCCUUGAAAUUGAAAACCCAGUGAACGUCUGUGAGCCUCCAUAUGAGAAAUAUUAGCUUUUCAGAACUAGAAAAUUCACUUGGAGCCUGGCAUUUUCCAUCAAGAGUCUUCUCUCUCCUGGAACCCAGCAAUUAAGCUUCCUUAACAAGAAUGAUCCAACCUCUGUGCCUAUAGCCUUCAUCCUGGAUGCUGAAAUAACUACUGGUGGUCAAAGACUGAGAUCACACCUUUAAUCUUGACCUGGUCAAAGUCACUAGCAAAGACUGGCUUGACCUUUCUCAGGUUGACAGCUCAGGGCUCUUAGGAUGGGGGAUUGGAAAUGGUGGGUAGAUGAUUCUGUUUCUCUCUUCUUCAUCCUAGGGAUAUUUGGAGCAUCUUAUAUUCCUGGAAGUCUGAUCCACAUGCUUUACCCUUCAUUCUUCAGGGUCCACCCUUGGCUAGGUGAAUCGCUGUCAGCAGGACAGGUUAGCAGUCAGUCCCAAGGGAUCACCAAGAGAAAAUUACAUCUGAUAUAUCCUUUGGUGUGCACAAAUGCAUGUGCUUGUGUACACACGCAUGUGUGGUGCCAGAAUGUGAGUUUGAAUUGGUACAUCUGUGUUAAAGUGGGGGUCCCAUGAUGUCUUUGUGUUUCUGAAGCAUGUGCCUAAGAAGUGAGUGGAAGAGUGCAUAAUGUAUCUUUGUCACAGUGUAUUUCUGUGUGUAAAGGUGCACAAGGAACUGCUAGGAUGAAGUGGCUGUGCGCAUUUGUAGAUGUGUGUAAGAAUGAGAAUUCCCUUGUUUUUAUGUUUCCUGAAGGUGGUGGGGAUGUUCUUGUUGGUUCUGCUUUACCAGUGAUUCUAACACUCAUUCCCCCUAAUAUCCAAGACCUUGGAUAUUCCCAUCCCCAGCCCUUUGAAGCUCCCAUUAAAAUUGUAGGCUUUUAAGUAAGAUUGCCUGGGUUUGCCUUCUGGCUCCAUUUCUUUCUAGCCACAUGAUCUUGGGCAAGUUGCUUAACCUCUAUAGACCUCAGUUUCCUUUUCUGUAAAAGGAGAGUAAAGUGGUGCCAAAUUGGAGAAUCCAUGAAAUAGUUCAUGUAAAGCAAUUUGAAACUCCCUGCCUAGAUGUCAUCGCACCACCCUUGUCAUGUCCAUCACUUCCACGUCUUAUCUCAAAUUCUGUAUUUACAUUGUGCCCUCACUGGUCUUCCAUUCUCCUGCAUCUUCCUUCAUUUCAUUAUCAACCUGCAUUGACUUGAUUAUUGCAACCUCUUUGCCAUUGCUGUGGUGAACCACCUUUCCAAUCCAAGCCACCAAGCUAGGGAUUUUCCAGAAGGUGAAACUGCUAGGUAUGACCCAGCCAAGAGGGGUCACUUGAGUGGCAGAACCAGAGUAUUGACAAGCUUUGAUCUCUCAACUACUUGGGUGGAGAACAAGAGCAGGUGAGUGCAUGCAGAAGGGGAGCCAUCCAAAUGGACUCCCCUGGCAGGUUUCCUCCUUCCCUUCCUGUCUUCCUCUUUGGGCCUGGCUUGGGUUAAGGAAGGAGGCCCCAAAGCUAUGCCUAUUGUCUGCUCUCUGUCAGCUUGGUAGUAUCCCAGAAAGAAAGUCAACGGCCUGGUCAUUUUGGCUUUUCCAUUCCAAUUUGAAUAUAUUAAAAUGCAGCCUUCCAGCUGGGUAAAUCCCCAGGCCAUUGAAAUAAAAGGUUUUUAACUUUAACCAUUAAAGAUUUAACUAGCCAAUAAAUCUAAGCAUGUGGGGGGUUGUUACCAAACGUUUAUUACAUUGCUCUUGCUUUUAACUUAAGAGCAAAUGCCAAGUGUGGACUUCCAUGAAAAAGACAUUUCCUUAUGGUCAAAACUGAUGUCAGCGCCCCCCCUCCCGCCCCCACCCCUGACCAAAAAAGCAAGAGAUUGCUGAAUCCAGAAGGGUCCACUCACUUACUUCUCAAAUCCCUUUAGGAGUUAAAAAUGGCUAUAUCAAUUUUACAAACCAAUUUGCUUACUGAAAAAAAGGUCUGUAAUAGCCUCUUGUAGCCAUGGUCAGAACAUGACUGACUAAAUUAAUCCAAAAGUCUACUUUCAGUUUGAGCAUCUUGGCGCCGACUUUUCCAGAACCAGAUUUUAUAAAGGCACAAAGGGAAUAUAGCUUUAGUGAAGAAAAUCACAAGAUUUUUCUGUUUUAGUAUCUUCUAGGUGAGUUGGAUAAUCAAUGUCUUGGAUCAUAAUGCUUAGUUUGGCCUUUUUUACCUUUAAGGCGAGCAGGAGAUCUGCCCGGUAGUGAAAUAUGGCUUUUAAUUUACACAAAUGUAAACGUCCAGAACUGAACCAUCAUAUUCACCCUGGGCUUAAAAAAUGAAUAGAAGCCAGAUAAAUCUUGG
RNAcentral lists this long non-coding RNA (5821 nucleotides) under Sus scrofa (pig). Its description in RNAcentral is "lncRNA (ENSSSCG00000062391.1)". Lineage: Eukaryota; Metazoa; Chordata; Mammalia; Artiodactyla; Suidae. The record is from RNAcentral.